Molecule: ribosomal RNA, 497 nt
Filed under: uncultured bacterium
Lineage: Bacteria
Description: partial 16S ribosomal RNA
Rfam family: Bacterial small subunit ribosomal RNA
Source: RNAcentral
GAUGAACGCUGGCGGCGUGCCUAAUACAUGCAAGUCGAGCGAACGGACGAGAAGCUUGCUUCUCUGAUGUUAGCGGCGGACGGGUGAGUAACACGUGGAUAACCUACCUAUAAGACUGGGAUAACUUCGGGAAACCGGAGCUAAUACCGGAUAAUAUUUUGAACCGCAUGGUUCAAAAGUAAAAGACGGUCUUGCUGUCACUUAUAGAUGGAUCCGCGCUGCAUUAGCUAGUUGGUAAGGUAACGGCUUACCAAGGCAACGAUGCAUAGCCGACCUGAGAGGGUGAUCGGCCACACUGGAACUGAGACACGGUCCAGACUCCUACGGGAGGCAGCAGUAGGGAAUCUUCCGCAAUGGGCGAAAGCCUGACGGAGCAACGCCGCGUGAGUGAUGAAGGUCUUCGGAUCGUAAAACUCUGUUAUUAGGGAAGAACAUAUGUGUAAGUAACUGUGCACAUCUUGACGUUACCUAAUCAGAAAGCCACGGCUAACUACGUG